UUUUAAAUCAUAUAUUUACAUAAAAUAUAUCAAAUUAAAGCUCUUAUCGUGAUCUUUAAUUUGAUAUGCAUAUUAAAUAUUUUACAAUUAAUCGAAUUUUACAAUUUAAAAAAAUAAAAAAAUUAAUGGAAAUAUGUAAAUGGAAUAUUAAAAAUUAAUGGUUGUUUCUUAAAAAAAGAGUUAAUGGCAGUUAUCUACACAUAAUUAAAUGUGCAUGCGAAAAUUUACAAAUAUUAAUUUGAGUUUGAACUUUUGACUUUAAUUUUUCUAUUAUUCACAAAAUUGCCACCUAAAUCAAUUUGAAAUCAAUUUCAAAUUGGAAACUACCUUUUUAAUAUAGUAUAGAUU
RNAcentral lists this long non-coding RNA (348 nucleotides) under Salvia miltiorrhiza (redroot sage). Its description in RNAcentral is "long non-coding RNA (SMIL_LNC011806)". Lineage: Eukaryota; Viridiplantae; Streptophyta; Magnoliopsida; Lamiales; Lamiaceae. The record is from RNAcentral.